This 765-nucleotide ribosomal RNA is filed under the name uncultured Streptococcus sp. RNAcentral describes it as "bacterial SSU rRNA". It matches the Rfam family "Bacterial small subunit ribosomal RNA", at positions 28 to 776 of the family's 1533-position model. Lineage: Bacteria; Bacillati; Bacillota; Bacilli; Lactobacillales; Streptococcaceae. The record is from RNAcentral.
GACGAACGCUGGCGGCGUGCCUAAUACAUGCAAGUAGAACGCUGAAGAGAGGAGCUUGCUCUUCUUGGAAGAGUUGCGAACGGGUGAGUAACGCGUAGGUAACCUGCCUUGUAGCGGGGGAUAACUAUUGGAAACGAUAGCUAAUACCGCAUAACAAUGGGUGACCCAUGUCAUUCAUUUGAAAGGGGCAACUGCUCCACUACAAGAUGGACCCGCGUUGUAUUAGCUAGUAGGUGAGGUAACGGCUCACCUAGGCGACGAUACAUAGCCGACCUGAGAGGGUGAUCGGCCACACUGGGACUGAGACACGGCCCAGACUCCUACGGGAGGCAGCAGUAGGGAAUCUUCGGCAAUGGGGGCAACCCUGACCGAGCAACGCCGCGUGAGUGAAGAAGGUUUUCGGAUCGUAAAGCUCUGUUGUAAGUCAAGAACGAGUGUGAGAGUGGAAAGUUCACACUGUGACGGUAGCUUACCAGAAAGGGACGGCUAACUACGUGCCAGCAGCCGCGGUAAUACGUAGGUCCCGAGCGUUGUCCGGAUUUAUUGGGCGUAAAGCGAGCGCAGGCGGUUUGAUAAGUCUGAAGUUAAAGGCUGUGGCUCAACCAUAGUUCGCUUUGGAAACUGUCAAACUUGAGUGCAGAAGGGGAGAGUGGAAUUCCAUGUGUAGCGGUGAAAUGCGUAGAUAUAUGGAGGAACACCGGUGGCGAAAGCGGCUCUCUGGUCUGUAACUGACGCUGAGGCUCGAAAGCGUGGGGAGCGAACAGG